RNAcentral lists this ribosomal RNA (1479 nucleotides) under uncultured organism. RNAcentral describes it as "16S ribosomal RNA". It matches the Rfam family "Bacterial small subunit ribosomal RNA". The record is from RNAcentral.
CGGCGUGCCUAAUACAUGCAAGUCGAACGAGUUCUGAUUAUUGAAAGGUGUUUGCAUCUUGAUUUAAUUUUGAACGAGUGGCGGACGGGUGAGUAACACGUGGGUAACCUGCCCUUAAGUGGGGGAUAACAUUUGGAAACAGAUGCUAAUACCGCAUAAAUCCAAGAACCGCAUGGUUCUUGGCUGAAAGAUGGCGUAAGCUAUCGCUUUUGGAUGGACCCGCGGCGUAUUAGCUAGUUGGUGAGGUAACGGCUCACCAAGGCAAUGAUACGUAGCCGAACUGAGAGGUUGAUCGGCCACAUUGGGACUGAGACACGGCCCAAACUCCUACGGGAGGCAGCAGUAGGGAAUCUUCCACAAUGGACGCAAGUCUGAUGGAGCAACGCCGCGUGAGUGAAGAAGGCUUUCGGGUCGUAAAACUCUGUUGUUGGAGAAGAAUGGUCGGCAGAGUAACUGUUGUCGGCGUGACGGUAUCCAACCAGAAAGCCACGGCUAACUACGUGCCAGCAGCCGCGGUAAUACGUAGGUGGCAAGCGUUAUCCGGAUUUAUUGGGCGUAAAGCGAGCGCAGGCGGUUUUUUAAGUCUGAUGUGAAAGCCCUCGGCUUAACCGAGGAAGUGCAUCGGAAACUGGGAAACUUGAGUGCAGAAGAGGACAGUGGAACUCCAUGUGUAGCGGUGAAAUGCGUAGAUAUAUGGAAGAACACCAGUGGCGAAGGCGGCUGUCUGGUCUGUAACUGACGCUGAGGCUCGAAAGCAUGGGUAGCGAACAGGAUUAGAUACCCUGGUAGUCCAUGCCGUAAACGAUGAAUGCUAGGUGUUGGAGGGUUUCCGCCCUUCAGUGCCGCAGCUAACGCAUUAAGCAUUCCGCCUGGGGAGUACGACCGCAAGGUUGAAACUCAAAGGAAUUGACGGGGGCCCGCACAAGCGGUGGAGCAUGUGGUUUAAUUCGAAGCAACGCGAAGAACCUUACCAGGUCUUGACAUCUUUUGAUCACCUGAGAGAUCAGGUUUCCCCUUCGGGGGCAAAAUGACAGGUGGUGCAUGGUUGUCGUCAGCUCGUGUCGUGAGAUGUUGGGUUAAGUCCCGCAACGAGCGCAACCCUUAUGACUAGUUGCCAGCAUUUAGUUGGGCACUCUAGUAAGACUGCCGGUGACAAACCGGAGGAAGGUGGGGAUGACGCCAAAUCAUCAUGCCCCUUAUGACCUGGGCUACACACGUGCUACAAUGGAUGGUACAACGAGUUGCGAGACCGCGAGGUCAAGCUAAUCUCUUAAAGCCAUUCUCAGUUCGGACUGUAGGCUGCAACUCGCCUACACGAAGUCGGAAUCGCUAGUAAUCGCGGAUCAGCACGCCGCGGUGAAUACGUUCCCGGGCCUUGUACACACCGCCCGUCACACCAUGAGAGUUUGUAACACCCGAAGCCGGUGGCGUAACCCUUUUAGGGAGCGAGCCGUCUAAGGUGGGACAAAUGAUUAGGGU